CUCGCAACCGUUCGCGGCUAGCCUUAUCCUCUCCACCGACGGAAGCGUCUCCAUGGCUCUCGUAGCUCCUCUUCCUCCCUUCCAUUUUCGAGGCCACUAUGUCAUACCACUGUUGCCCCUAAUCGGAGAGAUGGAGAUCAUCAUCGGUGCCCAGGGCAUCCACAUGUUGGCCUCCGGCGGCGCCGCGGACAAGGUCCUGCUCACCUCCCGCUGCCCGCAGGAGCUUCUUCUUCGCUGAAACCCUAGGGGGAGCAACAUCGCCUGAUCUGCAGCGCCGCCGCCGGAGCGCGCUGGCCCAGCACACCCGUUGGUCUUUGCACCCGCCUCCGGUCGGAGGCAAACUAUUACAGCCAACAAGCAAUGGAGGCAAGGUGACCACCACGAAGCAAGGGACGCUUCCCACAUGGAUGACGAAUUGAGGAGACACUUCUCAGGUAAGCCCCCCUCUCUCUCUGUCUCCUCCCUCUCUUUGAAUAAAAUCUCACUGAUGGUGCAGUUUUCCAGUCUAGUCUACCAAAUUAGUUUGGGAACUACCUGCAGAUCUACUGUGUAUAGAUAACAGUAUGCUCUACUGAGUGGAUGCAUUGACAAGGUUAUUUUAAGAGAUUUGACCUAGAAGUUGUUAAUUUUGCCUAGGUUUCUUUAAUCAAUUCCAUGUCAGUGUUAACAGUGUACCAUUGUUCAACAAAAACUUAUUAGGAAAUGCCAUAGGGUUACGGAAUGGUGUUCUGAAAUUAAAUGGAAAUUUUGUUUCAGUCUCUGUGAAGUACAAAUGCCUCUCCUGUUCAAUGUAUUUUCUUUUCAUUUACGGUUUCUUUGCCAUGGCUCAGUUUAUUUAAGCCUGAAUUGCCUACAACGAUUGAUACACCUUGGCUCUGCAAAAUUUCUAUUGCUUGGAAGGUCAAAAAUUCAUCAUAGAUUAGCAAUUCAGCCGUUAUGAUUAGUGUUCUAUGUGUGGAUUAUGUUUCAGUCUACAUUGUGAGACUGAUGAUUUUUAGUUAAGGGCUGUGUCAUGAGUGCAAGUAUGGAAUCUGUCACAAAUAAAAGAUGCCCAAAUCUUAAUAUUUUCCUUCAGUUUUUUUCAUAGUUAAGGGUUGUGGAUCCUGAACAUAGCAUUAUUUAACUGUUUUUCCCUUCAGUUUAUUUCUCUGAAACAGAUGUUUUAGCCUAGUUAUAGUGUUAUCUAUGCACCAUGGUUUCUGCUCAUUUAGUGAUCCUUUUUUUAAUAUUAGAUCAGAUCUUUCCCACCAUGGUCUGAAACAAAGUUGGCAUAGCAUCCACCUUGUAUUGUUCUAGAUUAUUUCAGUUCCUAUCACAUGUGUGUCAGGUUUGGCCCCCAAUAAUGCAGAUCUCUGGUUUUCCUAGUUGUGCAUCAUUUGCUUUCUUAAUUAUUAAUUGUUUUAUGAGGUUUGCUAAUACAUAAACAAGGUGUCUAGUUGCUAGCCAUCCCCUUUUAUCUCUUUUCCUUCUCUUUAUCCUUAUUGUUUUAGUAGCUAUGGAUAUUGCCUUUUUGAUUUACAUUAUUCUUGUCGUGAUCUAAUUUCACUACUGGCUUCAGAUAUAUGCUGAUCUAGGUUAGCCUGCAGCGUUCCCAGCAGGUAGCCUGCAGGUGACCACGAUGCUGGAUGUAACAUUCAAAUCCUAAAGCCAUGCAUUUCAGCCAUCUAUGAUGAAAUUCGGAAAACAAUGUUCAGUCUGAGCAAUGUUCCACGUUCCAGGGCUGUAUUUGGUAAAGCAAAAGAUAUUUUAACAAUUACCAAGCUUUUUCAUUCGUGCUUCUGUACAAGCAAUUCCAGUUCUGUUCAUGUAAUUAUCUUUACUGAGAAUAUGGCUUUAUGUUACUCCUGUAUCGAUGGUAUACUUUGUGGAUGUUUGAUGUUUUAUUUAAUCUGUUGCGAUGAUCAUAUCUUUUAUCACCAGAUAUUGCCCAAGUAAUUGUUUUUAUGGUCCUCUACUGUAAUUGUAGUAAAUUUCAAGGCACGUGCUCAAAUGUUUUUAAAACUUUAUAAGUUAAAUGAUUUUAGCUUGUUUGGCAUAUAUAAAUUUAUUGCUGCUGCAGUUCUGGUGCUUAAAAAAAUCAGUGUUUCUGCAGUUUCAGUACUUGCCUUUUAAUCGGUGUGCUGUGUUUUCAUGUUAUAUUUCAUUCGGAAAACAACUACACAACUGAUUUUGAGGAGAGACUUGGGCAGCUCAUUCAGAAGUUCAAAAACAAGGUGUUAAUCCCAAGCUAUCAAGACUUGGAAACUUUCAGAUAAGCAACCGUAACCUGUUUGCUGCCCUGUAUGGAGGCUUAUAAAGACGCAUGAUCAGGGUUUUAGGAGAUCAAUCAUGAAGAGAAAACUGAUGACAUUUCAGUGUAUACCAAGUAUUAUUGGUGACUCUAUCCCAAUGAAGGAAAUUGUUUUCAUAACAUAUGUAAUUGUUGAUGGUUGGACUGGAAUAGCUGGUGAUAUUGAGCCGGGACAUGGAUUAGGAGCAACACGCCUGGUAACGAGGCAAGAUUUUAUUUUCUCUAUGUAUGGUUCAGCAAUUUUUGAACAGCUAGAAACUAAAACUUUUUCACUUUCCAUAUAUUAUAUAAGAGCUGACACGUAUACACAGUAGGAUUCAAGAUAUGGAAAGUGGCAAAUUAAUCAUUCAUUAUGGACAAGUACGUGGUGCAUUGGAUCUUAAUUUUCACUAUUUAGUUUUGUUUGCUAUUUUUAUGAAUAUUUUAGGAACUAAGUUUUAACUUCGGGAUGUUACAGUUGAUUGGAGAUGUGUCUUGGAUAUGGAGAAAUUCCAGCAACCAAAGGUAUUCACUCAUGCUCCUGGCACCAAGAAGACCUAGCUUCCAACACCUAUUGAACUAUUAGUUUGGUGACUAAGGUCACUUUGAGAUUGAGAUGUGAGAUUUCAUUUGUUUAUUUUAUCUGAGAUGACUUUAUGACUAAGGUCACUUGUUGAACUAUAGUUUGGUGUUUGUAACGAAUGUAAUAAAUAUUUUGAUGAAUGACUUGGGAACCUGUUGAUUUGGCCAUGAAUGCAAUAUAUUAUUGGACCUGCAUAUGUUAA
This is an RNA transcript of Sorghum bicolor (sorghum), 3054 nucleotides long. RefSeq lists it as uncharacterized. The record is from RefSeq and is a predicted model, not a curated record. Lineage: Eukaryota; Viridiplantae; Streptophyta; Magnoliopsida; Poales; Poaceae. The transcript has 7 exons.